Molecule: RNA transcript, 1209 nt
Organism: Rhodamnia argentea
Lineage: Eukaryota; Viridiplantae; Streptophyta; Magnoliopsida; Myrtales; Myrtaceae
Exons: 9
Source: RefSeq, a predicted model, not a curated record
GUCACUGGGCAUUUAACCGAGGAUAUUUUGCAUCAACUUACCAUACCUCGAAAUUACCUCGGUAUCACUUUUGCUGAUCUCAUGAAACUGUAACUUUUAAACAAGCGAAUUCAUUAUUUCUGCUACUUGAGAAAUUGCUGUAAGCUCUACCUGAAGUAAUAUGCUAUCAACUGGUUGCAGGAGGCGACACCAUUGAAGAAAAGGUUGGAUGAAUUUUCUGGCAAAGGUCAUUGCAGGGAUAUGGGUGCUAGUAUGGGUUGUCAACAUUAGUCACUUUCGUGACCUGGCCCACGGUGGAUUUGUACAAGGUGCAAUUCAUCACUUAAGCAAUCGAGUAUCUUUUCUCCAGCAUGUGAGACAUUUAACCUGAAAAUAAUCAAAUGGUGUGACAAAACUGGGACUUUGACGACCAACAUGAUGUCUGUCUCGAAGGAUGGAGAUGAGGAUGCAACAUCUGUUUUUACACCUGUUCUUAAUUCAAGACCUGUGAAUAUUAGCUUGGAUGCUGUGUUUACUGAUCUUCAUAGGUAUUUCCUGACCACUGUACAGUCAGUAGAUAUGGAACCAAAGUGGUCAGGAGACACUCUUUGCAUCAAUUCUUAAAAGACAUCACGCAGAGAGUGUGAUGACAAAGCUGACUGCAUACUAAAAUUCGUCCUUAUUGCUCCACUUCAAAUGUUAGACAAGUCCGGAUAUUCAUCCAUUGUGCUGCAGGUUCCUCCCGUGAAAAUUGUGGUUGAAGAGCUUAAUGGUGUCUUGGUUACUCAUGCCUUAAUUACCAUACGUGGAUUGUGCAUUAGAUAUACACUAACAUUAUUCAUGGUAUGCCACGAACGCCAUCUACAUAGCAAAAGGAAGCCCACUACUUCCCCCAAGUUUUCCAUCAAUUUUUGAUGAUUUGGCUUCAUCAUCCUCGAUGUCAUCUUUGAUCCAUCCCACGUUUUGAUUAAGCUUCCAGGCUUCGUAUCAGGCACUUCAUUUACUUACAUUCCAAUUUCAUCCUUUAUCUGGAUAUGCCAUUAGACAUUCUCAUCGAUUACUGAUGAAGAAUGCUUCAAGCCUUCUUUAAGAGGAUAUAAUUUUCUGGUAGGUGAUCAUUAUAUGGAAUUUUAAGUAAUAUGUGAUACUAGAAAGAAAAACAAUGGCAUAACAGAUUAACGUGGCAUGAAAGAUUAACGUAUCUCUCAUUUGUGGGUACAGGAGCAGCUU